UGAAUACGAGAUGCUACGGCGUCGAAGCAGUGUAUGUCAGACUUCCAAGAAAAGCUCGCAAUGUCAUAAAUAAAGAAUGCCUGUACCAUAACCGACACAGGUGGGUAGGUAGAGUAUACUAAGGGGCGCGAGAUAACUCUCUCUAAGGAACUCGGCAAAAUAACUCCGUAACUUCGGGAGAAGGAGUGCCUUCUUUAAGAAGGUUGCAAUAACAAGAUCCAAGCAACUGUUUAUCAAAAACACAGGUCUCCGCUAAGUCGUAAGACGAUGUAUGGGGGCUGACGCCUGCCCAGUGCCAGAAGGUUAAAGAAGCUGGUUAGCAAUAGCGAAGCUGGUGACUGAAGCCCUGGUGAACGGCGGCCGUAACUAUAACGGUCCUAAGGUAGCGAAAUUCCUUGUCGGGUAAGUUCCGACCCGCACGAAAGGCGUAAUGAUUUGGAUACUGUCUCGGAGAGGGACUCGGUGAAAUAGACUUGUCUGUGAAGAUGCGGACUACCUGCACCAGGACAGAAAGACCCUAUGAAGCUUUACUGUAACCUGAAAUUGAAAUUGGACUUUAUUUGCGCAGUAUAGGUGGGAGGCGUUGAAAGUAAUCUUGCGGGAUUAGUGGAGCCAUCAGUGAGAUACCACUCCUAUAAUGUUAGAUUUCUAACUUUGGAUCAUAAUCUGGUCAAAGAACAGUUUCAGGCGGGCAGUUUGACUGGGCGGUCGCCUCCCAAAUGGUAACGGAGGCGUACAAAGGUUUCCUCUGAACGGGUAGAAAUCGUAUCUAGAGUGUAAAGGCAUAAGGAAGCUUGACUGUGAGACCUACAAGUCGAGCAGGGACGAAAGUCGGUCUUAGUGAUCUGACGGUGCUGAGUGGAAAGGCCGUCACUCAACGGAUAAAAGUUACUCUAAGGAUAACAGGCUGAUCUCCCCCAAGAGUUCACAUCGACGGGGAGGUUUGGCACCUCGAUGUCGGCUCAUCGCAUCCUGGGGCGGUAGUACGUCCCAAGGGUUGGGCUGUUCGCCCAUGAAAGCGGUACGCGAGCUGGGUUCAGAACGUCGUGAGACAGUUCGGUCCAUAUCCGGUGUAGGCGUUAGAAUAUUGAGAGGAGCCUUCUCUAGUACGAGAGGACCGAGAAGGACAUACCUCUGGUGUACCAGUUAUCGUGCCAACGGUAAACGCUGGGUAGCUAUGUAUGGAGAGGAUAACCGCUGAAAGCAUCUAAGUGGGAAGCCCACCUCAAGAUGAGUAUUCUC
Molecule: ribosomal RNA, 1242 nt
Filed under: metagenome
Description: bacterial LSU rRNA
Rfam family: Bacterial large subunit ribosomal RNA
Source: RNAcentral